This 428-nucleotide ribosomal RNA is filed under the name uncultured eukaryote. RNAcentral's name for it is "bacterial SSU rRNA". It matches the Rfam family "Eukaryotic small subunit ribosomal RNA", at positions 592 to 1018 of the family's 1831-position model. The record is from RNAcentral.
CAGUAGCGUAUAUUAAAGUUGUUGCAGUUAAAAAGCUCGUAGUUGGAUUUCUGACUUCAAACACCUGACCCUCCCUCGCUAGAGGUGUGUGUGCCGGAGUGUUUGUAUCAUCCUUUCAGUGAUCGGUUCUACCCUUAACCGGGUCGGAACUGUUAACUGGAUCUUUUACUUUGAAGAAAUUGGAGUGUUUAAAGCAGGCUUACGCCAGAACAUAUUAGCAUGGAAUAAUAAUUUAGGACUUUUGUUCUAUUUUGUUGGUUUGCGUUACGAAGUAAUGAUUAAUAGGGACAGUUGGGGGUAUUCGUAUUUCGUUGUCAGAGGUGAAAUUCUUGGAUUUCCGAAAGACGAACUACUGCGAAAGCAUUUACCAAGGAUGUUUUCAUUAAUCAAGAACGAAAGUUAGGGGAUCGAAGAUGAUUAGAUACCGU